GAUCAAGCGUCAAAAGGGCAUCCGGGGGAUGUCUUGGCGGUAAGAGGCGAUGAAAGACGUGGCACUCUGCGAUAAGCACCGGGGAGGCGAGAGCACCCUUUGAUCCGGUGAUUUCUGAAUGGGGAAACCCAUCUCCGAGAUGUUGGAUAAUUCGAGCGCUUCGGCGCUCGACCUGUCUAACAUUUCAAUAGUGAGGUAUUUUAAUCUGAAUACAUAGGGUUAAAAAGCGAACCCGGGGAAUUGAAACAUCUAAGUACCCGGAGGAAAGGACAUCAAUUGAGACUCCGUUAGUAGUGGCGAGCGAACGCGGACCAGGCCUGGUCUGAAAUAAGGAGAAGUAUCUGGGAAGGUACGCCAUAGUGGGUGAUAGCCCCGUAUCCGUAAAAUGAAGACCUUUUAGAGUAGGGCGGGACACGUGAAAUCCUGUCUGAACAUGGGGGGACCACCCUCCAAGCCUAAGUACUCCUUACCGACCGAUAGUGAACAAGUACCGUGAGGGAAUGAUGAAAAGAACCCCGAUGAGGGGAGUGAAACAGAUCCUGAAACCGGAUGCCUACAAGCUGAUGGAGCUCUUCGGAGUGACAUCGUACCUUUUGUAUAAUGGGUCAGCGACUUAGUGUUGCGUGCAAGCUUAAGCCGAUAGGUGUAGGCACAGCGAAAGCGAGUCUUAAUAGGGCGAAUGAGUACGUAGCAUUAGACCCGAAGGCAAGUGAUCUAGAUAUGGGCAGGCUGAAGGUGCAGUAACAUGCACUGGAGGGCCGAACCGUUGAGCGUUGAAAAGCUCUCGGAUGACCUGUGUCUAGGGGUGAAAGGCCAAUCAAACUUGCUGAUAGCUGGUUCUCCGCGAAAUCUAUUUAGGUAGAGCGUCACGAUUAGACUCUGGGGGGUAGAGCACUGAAUGGGCUAGGGGUCCUCACCGGAUUACCAAACCUUCUCAAACUCCGAAUACCCAGAAGUUAUGCGUGGCAGACACACGGCGGGUGCUAACGUCCGUCGUGAAAAGGGAAACAACCCAGACCGCCAAUUAAGGCCCCUAAGUAAUAGCUAAGUGCGAAACGAUGUGGAGGUGCUGAGACAAUCAGGAGGUUGGCUUAGAAGCAGCCAUCCUUUAAAGAAAGCGUAACAGCUCACUGAUCAAGCGCCUCUGCGCGGAAAAUGUAUCGGGACUAAAGUUAUUCGCCGAAAUUGCGGACUCGAAAGAGUGGUAGCGGAGCGUUCCGUAAGCCUGUGAAGGUGAACCGUGAGGUUUGCUGGAGGUAUCGGAAGUGAGAAUGCUGACAUGAGUAGCGACAAAGAGGGUGAGAGACCCUCUCGCCGAAAGACCAAGGGUUCCUGCGUAAAGCUAAUCUGCGCAGGGUUAGCCGGCCCCUAAGGCAAGGCCGAAAGGCGUAGUCGAUGGGAACCACGUUAAUAUUCGUGGGCCAAGGGAUGAGUGACGGAUUUCGAAAGUUGUAUUCCCUUAUUGGAUUGGGAAUGCAGCCUGGAAGUUCCUGGAAAUAGCCUCCCUAUUAGACCGUACCCGAAACCGACACAGGUGGUCAGGUAGAGCAUACCAAGGCGCUUGAGAGAACUAUGUUGAAGGAACUCGGCAAAUUACCUCCGUAACUUCGGGAGAAGGAGGCCUCAAUCUGGGCAACCAGGUCUGAGGGGCACAAAACUGGGGGUUGCGACUGUUUAUCAAAAACACAGGGCUCUGCGAAGCCGUAAGGCGACGUAUAGGGUCUGACGCCUGCCCGGUGCCGGAAGGUUAAAAGGAGAAGUGCAAGCUUUG
RNAcentral lists this ribosomal RNA (1771 nucleotides) under Maricaulis sp. Its description in RNAcentral is "bacterial LSU rRNA". It matches the Rfam family "Bacterial large subunit ribosomal RNA", at positions 1 to 1909 of the family's 2925-position model. Lineage: Bacteria; Pseudomonadati; Pseudomonadota; Alphaproteobacteria; Maricaulales; Maricaulaceae. The record is from RNAcentral.